Non-coding RNA from Ricinus communis (castor bean), 108 nucleotides. NCBI's taxonomy places the organism in Eukaryota, Viridiplantae, Streptophyta, Magnoliopsida, Malpighiales, Euphorbiaceae. The record is from Rfam.
AAAUUAUGAUGUGGGCACGGAAUUAGAUAAACUUUGAAUCUUUUCCAAGCAUCAUAAAAAGAUUUUUCUUCUUUCUGAGUGAAAUUACAAAUUUUAGACCUAUAAUCU